Long non-coding RNA from Ziziphus jujuba (common jujube), 778 nucleotides. RefSeq lists it as uncharacterized. NCBI's taxonomy places the organism in Eukaryota, Viridiplantae, Streptophyta, Magnoliopsida, Rosales, Rhamnaceae. The transcript is spliced from 2 exons. The record is from RefSeq and is a predicted model, not a curated record.
AUAUUAGCAACACUACAUUCUAAACACGCUAAAAUUAAAAUUUAUGUUUUCAUAUUAAAAUUUAUUUUUAUUUUUUUAUAUUAAUAAAUUAUAUCUAUUUUGUUUUUAAUGAAUUAAAAUAAUCCUACAUGCACUAUAACCACCCGCAAUUUUUCAAAGUAUCCUUAAUGAGCUAAAAAUGUUUGAUGUUUACGAUUCGAAAUUUUUCAGAAAAAACAAAUAAAAAUCAAUGUAUCAACCAGAUCGAAUUGAAAAGGUUCAAAGGUUGAAAAGGUAGAGUUUGAAUAAGUUCUUUUUGCUCGUAGAUUACUCUUCAAAAGGACCAGGGACUUGCCGACCCUCUUCGAAUGCCAUGCCUGUAAAUUCCGGAUCGACAUUCGUUGACGGGAAGAGCAAGCUUGGUUCAACAAUAUUGAGUCCUGGCAGAAAGUGUUUAUCUGUAUGGAUUGCUAGAUUCCAAAACCCCUGGCAAGCUGGAGAGGGGCGAUUUCGAGCAAUAAGAAAAGUAAGAGGAAGAGAAAACGUGGUUCGAAAUCUAGGAUUUUGUUAUUUGAUAUUGGGAGAUCCUGAAAGAGUGUUGGAAGAUGUGGUGCAAAUUCCAUGGCGUAGAUGAAGAUUGAGCGGUGAAAGCCAGAGGAAAGGCGAUAAGGAAAGAGAAGAGUGUAUGUAAUGUAAUUUUUAUUAUUUUUUUUGUUUAAUGUAUUAUUUUUAUGUUUUUUAAGUACUUAAGGGUGUUAAGGUUAUUUAUGAUACCUUGUCGAUGGAUUUUUCCUCUUUU